GGUAGGGUAUUUUCCCAUUAGAGCUAGAAUUGUAGGUUGAAACUGAAUAAUAUCUACUAGAGCAGGUGCUAGAUCAAAGUCAGUUACCUAGAAUGGAGAGGACUUGGAUUAGACAUUGGUCAAAUGGUUCAAUUUACCAAUCAGACAGGUUACUAUGAUCCUCAAACAAUUCAUGUUCCUUUAUGGAAAAGUUCCUUUGGAGGAAUUGAGUGUUGUUAGGGCCUAGCCAUAGCCCAAUAUUGUUGAACCUGCCCAAAAUCUCUAAAUAGUCACUGGCUAGUCAGCAAACCUAUAGUAGAGAAGCUCCAAUAAUGUCAAGCAGCUCUCUUAUGUAUUUCGAGAUUCAGAUGCCUAGAGUGUUGGCUAGGUGACAGAGAAGGAUUAUUCUGAUUUGUUAUUCUUUGUCCCUCCAAAUAAAUCAUUGUUCAAGACUUCUAGUACCCUAAUAAAAAUAUAGGGACAAUUUCAAGGAAUUUAAACGAGAAAAUAUUUGAGCAAACAAGAGCCAUAAUUAUUAGUAGCAUCCAAUAUGGGUUCAACCUGGGCCAUAGAAGCUUUCGCGUGGUAAAGCUUGUGGCUGUUGCUAUUUCAUUUUCUUUCACGUGGAUAAUGCACAACGUCCAAGUAGAGUGUGACAAGGAUCUUUUACUUGUCAUUUCUUAUUUAUUAUUUGAUGAAAAAUAUGAUGCAAUCCACUCACUUUUAAAUGCCAAUUAUUUUAGUCUAACUCUUCAUUGCUGUGAAUUUAGUAAUCUUAAUCUUCAUAAUUAUUUUUAUUUACUCACGCCGUUAUCUAGAUUUAUCAUUGCUUAAUGAAUAUAACUUGAUUGGUUCACUUGUAAUGCUAUAUGCUAAUGCUUCUGAGCUUUUCAAAAGCACCAUUUGAAUUUUGAGCAAAAGUGUUAUAGUUUUCACACCUUGUUUUGAGCCACUAGUGCCUUUUGGAAUUUAUUUGCAAGGCAGAGUUGAAAGAUUCAUAAAUGAUGAAUCCUUCGAUUUCCAUGUUUGUUUCUUGAAGCUUCCCUGCUGCAUUCUUGAAGCUCAACUUUUGAUUUCAAUUUCCAAAAGUUCUCAUUUCACUUUUCUUCUUUCCAGUUUUGUCAUUGAAUUUCUAUAGGUUUCGGCUUCUGUUUGUUCUGGUUUUUGUCUAAGGUACGCUAAAACUGACCUUUAGUUUACAACUUUUUUAGCUGCCAUUGUUUUGUACUAAUCUUAUUUGACAGUUUUUUAAUAUAUGUAAUUUGGCGUUUGUCAUCGAGACAUCAAACCACAUAACCUACUGGUCAAUCAACAGACACAUCAGUCGAAGAUAUGUGAUUUUGGGAGUGCAAAGAUAUUGAUGGGAUCUUGUUGCUUGAAGUUAAUAGGAUGCUAAGAGCAUGAGGGUAUUUUGUUUGGGCUGCCCAACCGGUUUAUAAGCACGAAGAAGCUUUAGAAGAACAAUGGGAAGAUAUAGUUGAAAUAAGUUUCCAUUUAGAUUGAAUUUAUUGAAGCUAUUUAGCUAUAUUUUUAUUGAAUUUAUGUAUUCUUCAGUUAUGUACUUUUCUUGAACUGGCCUGAACAGUCAAUAAGUUAUUGGAGAAGAAGGAUCCAAGUGCAUCUAAGAUUAUCAGUCAGCACUCAAGAAGAAAUGACAUGUGCAGGAUGAUUCAACAAAAAGCCUAGUUUCUAAGGCUCUUGUCUCCCAUCCAAUUCUCCAUUCAUGGACGACGCCUUUGCUAGAUAUAUUCCGGAGUUAUGUUUGAUUGAUGUGCAUGUAAAUCUGAAAUAUUUGAUCAUAUAGACUCUUAAAGAGGCUUUUGAGGUCUUUUGCAACAAAGGUGUUGCUGGAAACUCUAGUGCAGAACUUCUUGCCACUUUUUGUGAUAACAUUCUCAACAAAGGAUGCUUUCAUUAUUUUAUGGACUUUGGCAGUACAUGUUCAACAAGUUAGAGCUUCAUGUACUCAUUUUAGGGAUUGACAAGGCUGGCAAAACGACUUUGCUUGAGAAGAUGAAGUCGGUGUACACGAAUGUAGAAGGUCUUCCUCCGGAACGAAUUGUGGAAAGCAAUUGCUUCUCCAGGGCGUGGUAUUUUGGCCAUGGAUGAAUCCAAUGCUACAUGUGGAAAGCGGUUGGAUUCAAUUGAACUAGAGAACACCGAAGCUAACCGUCAAUCAUGGCGUAAAAUUAUAUAUGAAGAAAGUGUUAUGAGUUGGUUAAAAUAUAAUUUUUAUGUGUAUGAUUUUAUAGUACU
This is a long non-coding RNA of Vicia villosa (hairy vetch), 2235 nucleotides long. RefSeq lists it as uncharacterized. Lineage: Eukaryota; Viridiplantae; Streptophyta; Magnoliopsida; Fabales; Fabaceae. The transcript has 5 exons. The record is from RefSeq and is a predicted model, not a curated record.